Non-coding RNA from Odocoileus virginianus texanus, 693 nucleotides. The record is from RefSeq and is a predicted model, not a curated record. Lineage: Eukaryota; Metazoa; Chordata; Mammalia; Artiodactyla; Cervidae.
CUGGCGUGAAGACCUAUGGUUCUUGGUGGAGACUCCAUUGAGGUGAACACCUGGAGGCCAAGAGGCGGCCCAUGUAGGAGCUGUCUUAAAGAUGAAAGGAAAAAGCACAUGGAGGAUUAAAAAUCACUUACAAAGCCCAAGUUUUUAAAAUUGGAUAUGUGUUGACUCUGGGAUAUUGAAAUUUUUGGAAACUCACAGCAUCUCAAACUCUACAAUGAAACCAUAGUGGAAGCUCAGUUCCAGAAGAUCCUUGAAAGUCUCACCUACCUUGAAUUCUAGUUUAACCCACAGAAAUGAAGGAGCUUGCUCACCGGUUGCUGAGGAGAGGUUACUACCCUACCAGAGCCAAGGGGAGCCCACAUACGCCUCCCUCACACCUGCUUCCUCCAGGGCCUGGCAGUGAUGGUGUGUGUCUUGGGGGUUGACCAACUUCAGCAGAGACUGAUUACAGGUGGCCCGCAAGAGGACCCAAGGCCUCGUGGCCAAGGAAGCCGUGUCUCUCUCCCCUCUGUAGAGCGGACCCUGUAUAGAGGCGGCUCGCCUUCCCUCCAAGAUGACUGUCACAUGUCUCAGUCCACCUUGCCUGCUCGGGAAGUAGGUGGGGGUGAGGUAGGAUGGAGUGGGAAAUGCGGUGCGCAUCUCUUUGGGGGGAAGGGACGGUCCGGGAAAGGUCGGUCAUGCCUCAGAGUUAGC